RNAcentral lists this ribosomal RNA (386 nucleotides) under uncultured bacterium. Its description in RNAcentral is "bacterial SSU rRNA". It matches the Rfam family "Bacterial small subunit ribosomal RNA", at positions 28 to 417 of the family's 1533-position model. The record is from RNAcentral.
GACGAACGCUGGCGGCGUGCUUAACACAUGCAAGUCGAGCGGUAAGGCCCUUCGGGGUACGACGAGCGGCGAACGGGUGAGUAACACGUGGGUGACCUGCCUCUAGCUCUGGGAUAAGCCUGGGAAACUGGGUCUAAUACCGGAUAUGACUCCACGGCGCAUGUUGUGGGGUGGAAAGCCUUGUGUGGCUAGAGAUGGGCCCGCGGCCUAUCAGCUUGUUGGUGGGGUGAUGGCCACCAAGGCGACGACGGGUAGCCGGCCUGAGAGGGCGACCGGCCACACUGGGACUGAGACACGGCCCAGACUCCUACGGGAGGCAGCAGUGGGGAAUCUUGCGCAAUGGGCGAAAGCCUGACGCAGCGACGCCGCGUGAGGGAUGACGGCCU